CAAGCAGAUCACCUUAUCGCUGUCCGCUUUAUGCGGAGAGAGGAAAGUCCGGACACCGUAGUGCAGCAUAGCGGGUAACGCCCGUCCGUCGUGAGAUGAGGACAAGUGCAGCAGAAAGUAUGUACAGGUAAGGCUGUAGUGAAACCAGGUAAACUCUAUGCGGUGCAACGCCAUGUAUACCAACGCCUAAGGGUUGCGCGCCCAAUGUUGGAGGGUAGGCGGUUUGAUCUUGAUAGUAAUAUCAAGGCUAGAUAAAUGAUAAGGAGUCCGUCUUUGAUGGAUUACAGAAUCCGGCUUAUGAUCUGCUUUUUUU
Molecule: RNase P RNA, 313 nt
Filed under: Aquimarina amphilecti
Lineage: Bacteria; Pseudomonadati; Bacteroidota; Flavobacteriia; Flavobacteriales; Flavobacteriaceae
Description: Aquimarina sp. 92V Bacterial RNase P class A
Rfam family: Bacterial RNase P class A
About the family: Ribonuclease P (RNase P) is a ubiquitous endoribonuclease, found in archaea, bacteria and eukarya as well as chloroplasts and mitochondria. Its best characterised activity is the generation of mature 5'-ends of tRNAs by cleaving the 5'-leader elements of precursor-tRNAs. Cellular RNase Ps are ribonucleoproteins.
Source: Rfam by way of RNAcentral